GGUACAUCGGUGACAGGUGGUGCAUGGUUGUCGUCAGCUCGUGUCGUGAGAUGUUGGGUUAAGUCCCGCAACGAGCGCAACCCCUAUUGUUAGUUGCCAUCAUUCAGUUGGGCACUCUAGCGAGACUGCCGGUAAUAAACCGGAGGAAGGUGGGGAUGACGUCAAAUCAUCAUGCCCCUUAUAACCUGGGCUACACACGUGCUACAAUGGUUGGUACAACGAGUUGCGAGUCGGUGACGGCGAGCUAAUCUCUUAAAGCCAAUCUCAGUUCGGAUUGUAGGCUGCAACUCGCCUACAUGAAGUCGGAAUCGCUAGUAAUCGCGGAUCAGCACGCCGCGGUGAAUACGUUCCCGGGCCUU
This 359-nucleotide ribosomal RNA is filed under the name uncultured Streptococcus sp. Its description in RNAcentral is "bacterial SSU rRNA". It matches the Rfam family "Bacterial small subunit ribosomal RNA", at positions 1022 to 1382 of the family's 1533-position model. Lineage: Bacteria; Bacillati; Bacillota; Bacilli; Lactobacillales; Streptococcaceae. The record is from RNAcentral.